CAUUUUCAUGGAGUUGUGGGCUGUUGGAGACACGCUAGUGUAAAGGUCAAAGGUCAGUGGCACCAGACCCUGCAGAGAGGAACAGGACCAGUGGCACCGGACCCUGCAGGGAGGAACAGGACCAGUGGCACCAGACCCUGCAGGGAAGAACAGGACCAGUGGUCCAGCAGACCCUGCAGGGAGGAACAGGACCAGUGGCACCAGACCCUCUGCAGGGAAGAACAGGACCAGUGGCACCAGACCCUCUGCAGGGAGGAACAGGACCAGUGGUCCAGCAGACCCUGCAGGGAGGAACAGGACCAGUGGUCCAGCAGACCCUGCAGGGAGGAACAGGACCAGUGGCACCAGACCCUGCAGGGAAGAACAGGACCGGUGGUCCAGCAGACCCUGCAGGGAGGAACAGGACCAGUGGCACCAGACCCUGCAGUGAAGAACAGGACCGGUGGUCCAGCAGACCCUGCAGGGAGGAACAGGACCAGUGGUCCAGCAGACCCUGCAGGGAGGAACAGGACCAGUGGUCCAGCAGACCCUGCAGGGAGGAACAGGACCAGUGCACCGGACCCUGCAGGGAGGAACAGGACCAGUGGCACCAGACCCUGCAGGGAGGAACAGGACCAGUGGCACCAGACCCUCUGCAGGGAGGAACAGGACCAGUGGCACCAGACCCUGCAGGGAAGAACAGGACCAGUGGCACCAGACCCUGCAGGGAAGAACAGGACCAGUGGUCCAGCAGACCCUGCAGGGAGGAACAGGACCAGUGCACCGGACCCUGCAGGGAAGAACAGGACCAGUGGUCCAGCAGACCCUGCAGGGAGGAACAGGACCAGUGGCACCAGACCCUGCAGGGAAGAACAGGACCGGUGGUCCAGCAGACCCUGCAGGGAGGAACAGGACCAGUGGUCCAGCAGACCCUGCAGGGAGGAACAGGACCAGUGGGUACUGGUAACUGGUUCAGCAUCAUUGCCUAGUGUAAUGGUGCUGUGGUCCAAGUGGGGAAACCUUUAUAGGUCAUUCCUUUUAUAA
Molecule: long non-coding RNA, 1023 nt
Filed under: Takifugu rubripes (torafugu)
Lineage: Eukaryota; Metazoa; Chordata; Actinopteri; Tetraodontiformes; Tetraodontidae
Description: lncRNA (ENSTRUG00000027925.1)
Source: RNAcentral